Molecule: long non-coding RNA, 1264 nt
Filed under: Salmo salar (Atlantic salmon)
Lineage: Eukaryota; Metazoa; Chordata; Actinopteri; Salmoniformes; Salmonidae
Description: lncRNA (ENSSSAG00000094781.1)
Source: RNAcentral
GGCUUUUGUGGCGCGAUGGGUAACGAUGCUUCGUGGGUGUCAGUUGUUGAUGUGUGCAAGGGUCCCUGGUUCGAGCCCAGGUUGGGGCGAAGAGAGGGACGGAACCUACACUGUUACAGAGGCAAAAUUGGAACCUCAGGGAGACGAGAUCAGCUCAGGGCCAAUGAUAUCUCAAUGUCGAACAGAUUCAGUCACAGUGGUCAUUUUUCUCCGAGGAGGUGCUACUGCCACUGUAAUAUACCCCCACGAUCACAAACCCCACUAACCAACCCUGAAUCCUAGUCUAUUUCUUGUUGUGGCUGCAUAUAUGAACUUUUAAGUUUCUCAGCAAAGUAGGACUCCAUUGGCUCCACAUGACUAUUCGAUGGGCAUGGUGGGCAAGGGCUAGCCCACACCAAGCCCACACCAGUCCAAAAUGUGCUAGCACGUCAAAAGCUGUCGCACAGUAGCCCAAGAUGGGCCAGCCCAUAUCAAGCCCAACACGGGCUGGCCCACAACAAGCUUAGCAUAUGCUAGCCUACAGCAAGCCCACACCAGCCCAACACAUGUUAGCCUACAGCAAGCACACACCAAGCCCAAGAUGGACCGGCCCACACCAGCCCAGGAAGGACCAGCCCACACCAAGCCCAACAAAUGCUAGCCUACACCAGCCCAACACAGGCUAGCCCACACCAAGCCCAACACAGGCUAGCCUACACCAGCCAAACACAGGCUAGCCCAUACCAGCCCAACACAGGCCAGCCCACACCAAGCCCAACACAGGCUAGCUUACACCAGCCCAACACAUGCCAGCCCACACCAAGCCGAACACAGGCUAGCCCACACCAGCAAAACACAGGCUAGCCCAUACCAGCCCAACACAGGCCAGCCCACACCAAGCCCAACACAGGCUAGCCUACACCAGCCCAACACAGGCCAGCCCACACCAAGCCCAACACAGGCUAGCCUACACCAGCCCAACACAGGCUAGCCCAUACCAGCCCAACACAGGCAAGCCCAAAACAGGCUAGCCCACACCAGCCCAACCCACACCAACCCAACACAGGCUAGCCCACACCAAGCCCAACACAGGCCAGCCCACACCAAGCCCAACACAGGCCAGCCAACACCUAGCCCAACACAGGCUAGCCCAAACCAGCCAAACACAGGCUAGCCCACACCAAGCCCAACACAGGCCAGCCCACACCAAGCCCAAGAUGGACCAGCCCACAACAGCACAGGAAGGACCAACCCACACCAACCCAACACAGGCUAGCCCACACCA